Molecule: ribosomal RNA, 428 nt
Filed under: uncultured bacterium
Lineage: Bacteria
Description: bacterial SSU rRNA
Rfam family: Bacterial small subunit ribosomal RNA
Source: RNAcentral
UGGGGAAUUUUGCGCAAUGGGCUAACGCCUGACGCAGCAACGCCGCGUGGAGGAUGAAGGUCUUUGGAUUGUAAACUCCUGUCAGCAGGGAAAAAGGGAAGGGGCUUAAUACGCUUCUGACUUGAUUGUACCUGCAGAGGAAGCCCCGGCUAACUCUGUGCCAGCAGCCGCGGUAAUACAGAGGGGGCGAGCGUUAUUCGGAAUUAUUGGGCGUAAAGGGCGCGUAGGCGGCGAUUCAAGUGACGGGUGAAAUCCCUCGGCUUAACCGAGGAACUGCCUGUCAGACUGGAUGGCUUGAGACCGGGAGAGGUGAGUGGAAUUCCCAGUGUAGCGGUGAAAUGCGUAGAUAUUGGGAGGAACACCAGUGGCGAAGGCGGCUCACUGGACCGGUACUGACGCUGAGGCGCGAAAGCGUGGGGAGCAAACAG